AACUUUCAACAACGGAUCUCUUGGUUCUCGCAUCGAUGAAGAACGCAGCGAAAUGCGAUACGUAAUAUGAAUUGCAGAUAUUCGUGAAUCAUCGAAUCUUUGAACGCCCAUUGCCCCCUUUGGUAUUCCAAAGGGCAUGCCUGUUUGAGCGUCAUU
This 156-nucleotide ribosomal RNA is filed under the name Candida tropicalis. RNAcentral's name for it is "5.8S ribosomal RNA". It matches the Rfam family "5.8S ribosomal RNA". Rfam says of the family: 5.8S ribosomal RNA (5.8S rRNA) is a component of the large subunit of the eukaryotic ribosome. It is transcribed by RNA polymerase I as part of the 45S precursor that also contains 18S and 28S rRNA. Lineage: Eukaryota; Fungi; Ascomycota; Pichiomycetes; Serinales; Debaryomycetaceae. The record is from RNAcentral.